Molecule: ribosomal RNA, 471 nt
Filed under: uncultured bacterium
Lineage: Bacteria
Description: bacterial SSU rRNA
Rfam family: Bacterial small subunit ribosomal RNA
Source: RNAcentral
UGGGGAAUUUUGGACAAUGGGGGAAACCCUGAUCCAGCAACGCCGUGUGAGUGAUGAAGGUCUUCGGAUUGUAAAGCUCUGUUAGCCGGGAAAAAACUCGUGAGCAUCAGAUCCUCACGAUUGAUGGUACCGGCAGAGGAAGCACCGGCUAACUCUGUGCCAGCAGCCGCGGUAAUACAGAGGGUGCGAGCGUUAUUCGAAAUUAUUGGGCGUAAAGCGCAAGUAGGUGGUGAGAUAAGUCUUGUGUGAAAUACUCGGGCUCAACCCGAGAGGGUCAUAGGAAACUGUCUCGCCAGAGUGCAAUAGGGGAGAGCGGAAUUCCCAGUGUAGUAGUGAAAUACGUAGAUAUUGGGAGGAACACCGGUGGCGAAAGCGGCUCUCUGGAUUGUUACUGACACUCAGUUGCGAAAGCGUGGGGAUCAAACAGGAUUAGAUACCCACGUAGUCCCUGAGCGGGCUGGCAAGGCGCAU